GCAACAAGCAGUUAGAAAUGGCAGGACUGGCCACGAAAUUCAAGCCUGAGAUAACAUCACAGCUUUGCCCUUUUCUUGAUUCGGUUGAGCUGAGUGGGAAGAAGUAACAAAGGAAUUACAUCCCCAGCACACGCAAAAGCUCAGCCCGCCUCCCCAAACCGCACGCCUUGGCGCUGAGCCUCGGCACUCACCUAGGCGCCUCCAUGUUUCGGGGACAAACUGAGUCACCCCGGUCGGUAACCCUCACCGCCAGGCAGCCACGCCACAGCACCACAGCUGGUUUUAUUUCUUCAACAAGAUAUGAUGGCGAUUUUUGCUAGAAAUGAUGAAGCAAAGUUUAUAUUAUGGGAAAUAAAAGGCAGAACCAACUAUGGGUACACCUCAUCCAUCAAAACAGAAGGUUGUCUGUAUAAAGCACCAUCUUGGCCCAUGAUGCUUAAUGAAAGUAAAAACUUUACAUUGGAUGAAGUAUGAGGACCGCAGAUAACGGCAUGAAAAUAUCACUGUAUCACUGAGGAAGACAGAGAAAUCAUGUUGUGGUACUACUCUGUGUAAUAAGUCUAAUAUUUAAAUACCAAAGUUCAGCUUCCAAGUCAAAUAAAUGCACAUUAGAACUU
Molecule: long non-coding RNA, 617 nt
Organism: Oxyura jamaicensis (ruddy duck)
Lineage: Eukaryota; Metazoa; Chordata; Aves; Anseriformes; Anatidae
Exons: 4
Source: RefSeq, a predicted model, not a curated record